This 72-nucleotide transfer RNA is filed under the name Marmota monax (woodchuck). RNAcentral's name for it is "tRNA.Undet". The record is from RNAcentral. Lineage: Eukaryota; Metazoa; Chordata; Mammalia; Rodentia; Sciuridae.
UGAGGUUGUGGCUCAGUGGUAGAGCACUUGCUUACUUGUGUGAGGCCCUGGGUUUGAUCCUCAGCACCACAA